GUUUUUGCCUGUUUUCACACGCACUCACGCCACACAUCCAAUUUCUCACGCAAAAAAAAUCGGCCCAGACUUUCGUUCCUUUUUUCAAACUCCCCGACGAUAGAUGGCGCUGAUGAGCGCCACUGAACCAUAUGCGCUGCACCUUGAAGUUAGCGACAGAAGAAGAGAUACUAUUGCCGCGAAAGACAACAUGAGAAGAAACGGUCGCUACCUCAAGAAGUCUGAUAAGAAGCUGAGCUGAGACUAGGUUUCAAAGAUGUCCCGUAAGAGACCUUUGCCAGGACAAAAGCGAAACCUUUUAUUUUAUUUAAAGAACCAGCCAAGUGAGAAAAGACAGACAAACACACUGACAGAACAGCCAGAACGAUUGAUAGAAACGACAGGACAACAGACAGAGGAGCAACACAAAGGACAGAGAGAGCAGGAGACAGGACAGACUGACAAACAAGCAGAGGAGCAACAGACAGGACAGAUUGACGCACAUGCAGAGGAGCAACAGACAGGACAAAUAGAACAACCAACAGGGCAGAUGGAAGGAGACACAGAGGGACAGACAGUAGAGACCCCCCCCCCAAUCCAACAGCAGGGCCAGAAGAGUCAUGCUCUGGCUGGAGCAGCAAGAUCCAUUUUUAAAAAUGAGUGGACCUCUUCAUGGCCAUUUAUUACCAGAGGGAGCCUCAACACGCACUACUGGUGUGCAGUCUGCCGUAUUGAAAACUCAUGUUGCCACCAGGGUGUGACAGAUGUAGUGCGCCAUAUAAAAAACAAAGGCCACCAAGAUAAGAACUGUGUUGUACAGAUAAGAACGUUGUGUGACCAAGAUCCUGAGGCUGUAUGAACCUCUGGCCAGCUACUACAAAUCUGCUAAUGAAAAUCAGGCCAGGUUCAAGAGACUUGUGCAGACAUUCACUGACCCCAUGACAGAAGUGUACCUGCUGUUCUUCCAAGCCACCGUACCAACGUUCACUUCUUUCAACUUGCUGCUUCAGAGAGAGCAGUCAUCAAUAUUUUUGUUGCAUGAUGAGAUGGUGAAAUUCGUAUGCAAGCUAUGUUCCAAGUUUAUGGUUCCAGCAGCUCUGCAGUGCCAUGGGGAGCCUUGUGAAAUUGCCUUUAAAGAAAAGGCAAACCAUUUACCAGGAAGAAAGUUGAACAUUGGGUUCACAACCAGGGCUAAA
Coregonus clupeaformis (lake whitefish) is the source of this 1175-nucleotide long non-coding RNA. RefSeq lists it as uncharacterized. The transcript has 5 exons. The record is from RefSeq and is a predicted model, not a curated record. NCBI's taxonomy places the organism in Eukaryota, Metazoa, Chordata, Actinopteri, Salmoniformes, Salmonidae.